AGUUCUGGGAGAAGCUCACCAGUUUAGGUUGUUGGUUCAUCAUUAUCAAAUUCCCCAUGAGAACAUGCUAACCUUGUUUAAGAAUUAUUUCAGCAUUAAGUUCCACAAGGCAUAAUUUUCCACAGGCAGUCUACCUAGAAAUGGAUGUGAAUCAGUGCCAUGGAGCAACUUCCACCAACUAAAUACUAGCACCCAUAUAUCUGUGAUUAUUUUUCCAAAAGAAAAUGAGAGUCAAACAGUAUCAAAGAGCAGAUGCUAUGGAAUUACAAUAGAAAAUUAACUAGCAAUUAGAAAAUACCAAUGAAAGCAGUGAGAAAACUAAUUUUCAGUGAGAAAAGAAUAUAUAAACAUAAUAUAUUUUCCCCAAAAAAGCUGGCUGUGAGAUUCUAAAUCAAAGUAAUGGGAGGAUAUUUGUCAACAGUUACAAAGAGGAAUGAUCUUGAAAUCUGUGAUGAACAGCUGCUUAUUAUUAUGACAUUAAAACAACCAGAAAACUUUAGUUCCUGAGAAGUCACAGUAAUAGUCAAGGUCACAAAUUUGUAAACACUUCUAUU
RNAcentral lists this long non-coding RNA (554 nucleotides) under Homo sapiens (human). RNAcentral describes it as "non-protein coding lnc-SLITRK5-19:1". The record is from RNAcentral. Lineage: Eukaryota; Metazoa; Chordata; Mammalia; Primates; Hominidae.